ACGAACGCUGGCGGCGUGCUUCACACAUGCAAGUCGAACGGAAAGACCCUGCUUUUGUGGGGUGCUCGAGUGGCGAACGGGUGAGUAACACGUGAGUAACCUGCCCUUGACUUUGGGAUAACUUCAGGAAACUGGGGCUAAUACCGGAUAGGAGCUCCUGCUGCAUGGUGGGGGUUGGAAAGUUUCGGCGGUUGGGGAUGGACUCGCGGCUUAUCAGCUUGUUGGUGGGGUAGUGGCUUACCAAGGCUUUGACGGGUAGCCGGCCUGAGAGGGUGACCGGCCACAUUGGGACUGAGAUACGGCCCAGACUCCUACGGGAGGCAGCAGUGGGGAAUAUUGCACAAUGGGCGGAAGCCUGAUGCAGCAACGCCGCAUGCGGGAUGACGGCCUUCGGGUUGUAAACCGCUUUCGCCUGUGACGAAGCGUGAGUGACGGUAAUGGGUAAAGAAGCACCGGCUAACUACGUG
This 467-nucleotide ribosomal RNA is filed under the name uncultured bacterium. RNAcentral describes it as "partial 16S ribosomal RNA". It matches the Rfam family "Bacterial small subunit ribosomal RNA", at positions 29 to 507 of the family's 1533-position model. The record is from RNAcentral.